CAAUAGCGUAUAUUUAAGUUGUUGCAGUUAAAAAGCUCGUAGUUGGAUUUCGGAUGGGAUUUGCCGGUCCGUCGUUACGAUGUGCACUGGCCAGUCCUAUCUUGUUGUCGGGGACUAGCUCCUUGGAUUCACUUCCUGGGACUAGGAGCUGACGAGGUUACUUUGAGUAAAUUAGAGUGUUCAAAGCAAGCCUACGCUCUGAAUACAUUAGCAUGGAAUAACACGAUAGGACUCUGGCUUAUCUUGUUGGUCUGUGAGACCAGAGUAAUGAUUAAGAGGGACAGUCGGGGACAUUCGUAUUUCAUUGUCAGAGGUGAAAUUCUUGGAUUUAUGAGAGACGAACUUCUGCGAAAGCAUUUGUCAAGGAUGUUUUCAUUAA
RNAcentral lists this ribosomal RNA (379 nucleotides) under uncultured eukaryote. RNAcentral's name for it is "partial 18S ribosomal RNA". It matches the Rfam family "Eukaryotic small subunit ribosomal RNA", at positions 592 to 976 of the family's 1831-position model. The record is from RNAcentral.